Molecule: transfer RNA, 76 nt
Filed under: Rickettsiales bacterium
Lineage: Bacteria; Pseudomonadati; Pseudomonadota; Alphaproteobacteria; Rickettsiales
Description: tRNA-Trp
Rfam family: tRNA
About the family: Transfer RNA (tRNA) molecules are approximately 80 nucleotides in length. Their secondary structure includes four short double-helical elements and three loops (D, anti-codon, and T loops).
Source: RNAcentral
AGGGGUGUAACUCAGCAGGUAGAGUAAUGGUCUCCAAAACCAUCUGUCGGGGGUUCGAUUCCCUCCGCCCCUGCCA